CGCAAGCCUGAUCCAGCAAUGCCGCGUGUGUGAAGAAGGCCUUAGGGUUGUAAAGCACUUUCAAUUGGGAAGAAAAGCAUUCGGUUAAUACCCGGGUGUCUUGACGGUACCUUUACAAGAAGCACCGGC
RNAcentral lists this ribosomal RNA (129 nucleotides) under uncultured Gammaproteobacteria bacterium. RNAcentral describes it as "partial 16S ribosomal RNA". It matches the Rfam family "Bacterial small subunit ribosomal RNA", at positions 376 to 497 of the family's 1533-position model. The record is from RNAcentral. Lineage: Bacteria; Pseudomonadati; Pseudomonadota; Gammaproteobacteria.